UUGAGAAGCAAACUGUUGAGUAAUUAUUUCUGAUUUGAGAAGUAAAUUGGUGAGUUUAUCUUUGAUUUGAGAAGCAAACUAGUGAGUAUUUAUAGGAAAUUUCGAAAGGUUUUACGACCAAUUAGCUUCGUCUCAUUCCUCGUAAAUAAAAAGGCAGGCCUCGCUAAUUCCUCGUAAAUGAACGAGGACGUUACAAGGAAACAAAACGCGGGCCUCGCUAAUUCCUCGUAAAUAAAAACACGGGCCUCACGAGUUCCUCGUUAAAGAAAAGAUGGGUUUGGGGUUUGGAAUAUAUGAAGUAGAAGAUAAGGAAGAUGAGGUUUGGGGUUUGAGGUUUCGGAUUUUAGGGAUUUAAACAUAAUCCUCGUAAUUUCUUCGUAAAAUAACGAGGAAAUAACGACGAAAUUAAAAAAUAAAGAACGCGGGAGUCGUUAAUUCCACGUAAGCAGAAAUCGUCAUAAAGACCUCGUAACCGGAAAACACGGACCUUGCUAUUUCCUCUUAAAAUAAAAACUCGGGUGUUGCUAUUUCCUCGUAAUUUAACUUGGGCUUUACGAAGAAACAAAACGCGGGCCUUUGUAAUUCCUCGUAAAUUUACGAGGAAAUUACGAAGAUAUCUAAUCUCUUAUAUAUACUCGCGAGCGCUCACACUUUCAUUUCGUCUCAACUUCCUCUCCACUUCCUCUCUAUUUCAUAGCAAUGAUAACUCUCUCUAAUUCCUCUCUAGUUUGAUUAGUUUAGGAUAGAUUAGGUGGUUAGUGU
This 762-nucleotide long non-coding RNA is filed under the name Brassica napus (rape). Its description in RNAcentral is "long non-coding RNA (BNAP_LNC019847)". The record is from RNAcentral. Lineage: Eukaryota; Viridiplantae; Streptophyta; Magnoliopsida; Brassicales; Brassicaceae.